Molecule: transfer RNA, 86 nt
Filed under: Felis catus (domestic cat)
Lineage: Eukaryota; Metazoa; Chordata; Mammalia; Carnivora; Felidae
Rfam family: tRNA
About the family: Transfer RNA (tRNA) molecules are approximately 80 nucleotides in length. Their secondary structure includes four short double-helical elements and three loops (D, anti-codon, and T loops).
Source: Rfam by way of RNAcentral
GCCUGGGUGGCUCAGUCGGUUAAAGCGUCCGACUUCAGCUUGGGUCAUGAUCUCACAGUUUGUGAGUUCGAGCCCCAUGUCAGGCU